GAGACUUCGGUGGAUUUGAUCUAUUUCGAGUGGCGGACGGGUGAGUAACGCGUGGGUAACCUGCCUUAUACAGGGGGAUAACAGUCAGAAAUGGCUGCUAAUACCGCAUAAGCGCACAGAGCUGCAUGGCUCAGUGUGAAAAACUCCGGUGGUAUAAGAUGGACCCGCGUUGGAUUAGCUUGUUGGUGGGGUAACGGCCCACCAAGGCGACGAUCCAUAGCCGGCCUGAGAGGGUGAACGGCCACAUUGGGACUGAGACACGGCCCAGACUCCUACGGGAGGCAGCAGUGGGGAAUAUUGCACAAUGGGGGAAACCCUGGAUGCAGCGACGCCGCGUGAAGGAAGAAGUAUCUCGGUAUGUAAACUUCUAUCAGCAGGGAAGAUAGUGACGGUACCUGACUAAGAAGCCCCGGCUAACUACGUGCCAGCAGCCGCGGUAAUACGUAGGGGGCAAGCGUUAUCCGGAUUUACUGGGUGUAAAGGGAGCGUAGACGGUGUGGCAAGUCUGAUGUGAAAGGCAUGGGCUCAACCUGUGGACUGCAUUGGAAACUGUCAUGCUUGAGUGCCGGAGGGGUAAGCGGAAUUCCUAGUGUAGCGGUGAAAUGCGUAGAUAUUAGGAGGAACACCA
RNAcentral lists this ribosomal RNA (628 nucleotides) under uncultured Lachnospiraceae bacterium. RNAcentral's name for it is "bacterial SSU rRNA". It matches the Rfam family "Bacterial small subunit ribosomal RNA", at positions 68 to 711 of the family's 1533-position model. The record is from RNAcentral. Lineage: Bacteria; Bacillati; Bacillota; Clostridia; Lachnospirales; Lachnospiraceae.